Molecule: long non-coding RNA, 382 nt
Organism: Brassica oleracea var. oleracea
Lineage: Eukaryota; Viridiplantae; Streptophyta; Magnoliopsida; Brassicales; Brassicaceae
Exons: 2
Source: RefSeq, a predicted model, not a curated record
GAACUUGAGUUUGUGUAUAGAAAUGUCUUUAGGUGUAUGGAACUUGAGUUUGUGUAUAGAAAUGUCUUUAGGUGUAUGGAACUUGAGUUUGUGUAUAGAAAUGUCUUUAGGUGUAUGGAACUUGAGUUUGUGUAUAGAAAUGUCUUUAGGUGUAUGGAACUUGAGUUUGUGUAUAGAAAUGUCUUUAGGUGUAUGGAACUUGAGUUUAUGAGUUUAUAAAUGGAACUUGCUGUAUGUGUUUUGCUUUAGACUUGGACACCUGAGGAAACUAGGUAUUUUUUCGAACUCUAUGCGGAAGAGAGAAGAAAAGGAAAUAAGGCUGGUAUAUCAAUGAAUAAAGCGGGGAAAGCAAACAUUAUGGAGGCGUUUGAACAGCGAUUUA